This 306-nucleotide long non-coding RNA is filed under the name Mytilus galloprovincialis (Mediterranean mussel). The record is from RNAcentral. Lineage: Eukaryota; Metazoa; Mollusca; Bivalvia; Mytilida; Mytilidae.
GUAUUUAAAUGGUAAAGUGUCCCCCGCCUGUACUAAAAAAAUAAAAUUUAAAACACGUAGAAUCAGUGACAUAAAACUCGGUAUGCAUCUGUUUAAAACAAUAUUUUGAUUGAUUGAUCUAUUGAUUGGUGAUUAACGCCACUUUCAGCACUAUUGGCUGUUUUGUGGCGGUCAGUUUUUAUUUGUGGGGGAAACUGGAGUGCCGGGAGAGAACAACAGAAAACUGACAAUGCUCGUCAAUUCAGAUUCGAACUCCCAACAUUAGUGUUGACAGGCUAGUUAAACAGUUGUUGGAUUACUUAGACC